UACGUAGGGUCCGAGCGUUGUCCGGAAUUACUGGGCGUAAAGAGCUCGUAGGCGGUCUGUCGCGUCUGCUGUGAAAAUCCAGGGCUCAACCCUGGACCUGCAGUGGGUACGGGCAGACUAGAGUGCGGUAGGGGAGAUCGGAAUUCCUGGUGUAGCGGUGAAAUGCGCAGAUAUCAGGAGGAACACCGGUGGCGAAGGCGGAUCUCUGGGCCGUAACUGACGCUGAGGAGCGAAAGCAUGGGGAGCGAACAGG
RNAcentral lists this ribosomal RNA (253 nucleotides) under uncultured bacterium. RNAcentral describes it as "partial 16S ribosomal RNA". It matches the Rfam family "Bacterial small subunit ribosomal RNA", at positions 524 to 776 of the family's 1533-position model. The record is from RNAcentral.